Molecule: ribosomal RNA, 395 nt
Filed under: uncultured bacterium
Lineage: Bacteria
Description: bacterial SSU rRNA
Rfam family: Bacterial small subunit ribosomal RNA
Source: RNAcentral
GUGUCAGCAGCCGCGGUAAUACGAAGGGUGCAAGCGUUACUCGGAAUUACUGGACGUAAAGGGUGCGUAGGUGGUUCGUUAAGUCUGAUGUGAAAGCCCUGGGCUCAACCUGGGAAUUGCAUUGGAUACUGGCGGGCUGGAGUGCGGUAGAGGGUAGUGGAAUUCCCGGUGUAGCAGUGAAAUGCGUAGAUAUUGGGAGGAAUAUCUGUGGCGAAGGUGAUUAUCUGGACCAGCACUGACACUGAGGUACGAAAGCGUGGGGAGCAAACAGGAUUAGAUACCCUGGUAGUCCACGUCCUAAACGAUGCGAACUGGAUGUUGGGUGCAAUUAGGCACUCAGUAUCGAAGCUAACGCGUUAAGUUCGCCGCCUGGGGAGUACGGUCGCAAGACUGAA